RNAcentral lists this unclassified non-coding RNA (236 nucleotides) under Mrakia frigida. Its description in RNAcentral is "partial internal transcribed spacer region". The stretch from base 1 to 46 matches the Rfam family "Eukaryotic small subunit ribosomal RNA", at positions 1786 to 1831 of the family's 1831-position model. RNAcentral also lists the same sequence under 2 other names. Lineage: Eukaryota; Fungi; Basidiomycota; Tremellomycetes; Cystofilobasidiales; Mrakiaceae. The record is from RNAcentral.
AAGUCGUAACAAGGUUUCCGUAGGUGAACCUGCGGAAGGAUCACUAGUGAUUAAAUCGAGAGCGUCUUCAUUGACCUCUCACCCUUCACAUCCACAUACACCUGUGCACCGUUUGACUCUUUUAAAAGACGCAAGUCUGCAAAGAGAGUCAUCAAUUUUAUACAUACCCCAGUCUUAUGAAUGUAACAGUUUUAAUAAACAAAAUAAAACUUUUAACAACGGAUCUCUUGGUUCUC